UCAAAGAUCAGUUGAAGUAAUCUUCCGGUGUUCUUAUUUUACCAUUGGAGGAAGAGACUCGGUGUGGGGUGUUUCAAAUACCGGUUGAGGUAAUCUUCAGGUGUUUUUAUUUUUAUUCAUGCAGCCCAUUAUUUCUCAGUCUUAUUUUCCUAUUCUCUUUAUUUAAUAAAGUUGAUUGUUCUUAGUGGUAGCAAGUGAGAGAGGUCUUAUUUAUUUUAUUUAUUUCUUUUGAGUUGAUAUAAUGGUAAAGUACCAUUGUAAGUGUUCUAGUCGGUGUAAAAAAAAAAAACUACAAAAAUUUGCAUUGUACUAGAUCACCCUAGUUCUCCUAUCAGGAUAACUCACUCAAGUUGGGCUUACAAAAAGAUAUCGAGCCUUGAAUUAGGUUCACAAAAAGAUGUCAAGCCUUGAGCUGGGCUCACAAAAAGAUAUCGAGCCUUGGGUCCGACCCGUACACAUGCGCGGGGCACUUCUCACACAAAUGCGACAUGCGAGGGGCACUUCUCAUGCCUAUGCGAGCUUGUGAAGUGCAAAGUACAAAGUGCGUCAUCAAAGCGAUUGAUGUUCAGAGGUAGUAUAAAGCAAUCUCACAUGUCAAUUUCAACACUACUAAGGGUUAUUAUCGUGUUCUACAUCAUCAUCAUCAUAGUUUUUUUUCAACUAUUUGUUGUUGGCUACAGAAAUUCUGGUAUGUCAUUUUACUUUAUUAAUGAUCAUACUCUCAGUGAGGCCAUAAGUUCCUAUAUAUUCUCUUACUAUUUUUUAAUCAUGUCUUUUUUGACUUACUCCUUGUCAUUGUUUAGC
RNAcentral lists this long non-coding RNA (804 nucleotides) under Amborella trichopoda. RNAcentral's name for it is "long non-coding RNA (ATRI_LNC003839)". Lineage: Eukaryota; Viridiplantae; Streptophyta; Magnoliopsida; Amborellales; Amborellaceae. The record is from RNAcentral.